This is a non-coding RNA of Lepisosteus oculatus (spotted gar), 299 nucleotides long. Lineage: Eukaryota; Metazoa; Chordata; Actinopteri; Semionotiformes; Lepisosteidae. The record is from RefSeq and is a predicted model, not a curated record.
UUGAAUUCUUUUGUUUUUGUCUUCAACACCAUCAUAUGCAGAUGUUAUUGUUUAUGUUACUUUUUUGUUGCAGCUGCCUGCCAGUCAAGAUGCCAUGAGGUACAUGAUAUGACCCACAAGUACUUAAUGAUGCAGAGAAGAGCAUAUGGGAAAAAGAAAACAAUACAUUUAUCUGUUAACACAACCAGAAGUCAGAAGAUGGGUGAUGGGACAGCAUUUCAAGACCAGACACAAAAGGGUUCCCAGGAGUACACACAGCACAGCCAAAAUGUGGCUAGCUGAAGUACAGCAGACCAUAG